This 460-nucleotide ribosomal RNA is filed under the name uncultured bacterium. RNAcentral's name for it is "partial 16S ribosomal RNA". It matches the Rfam family "Bacterial small subunit ribosomal RNA", at positions 338 to 795 of the family's 1533-position model. The record is from RNAcentral.
CCUACGGGAUGCUGCAGUGAGGAAUAUUGGUCAAUGGACGAGAGUCUGAACCAGCCAAGUAGCGUGAAGGAUGACUGCCCUAUGGGUUGUAAACUUCUUUUAUAUGGGAAUAAAAUGUUCCACGUGUGGGAUUUUGUAUGUACCAUAUGCAUAAGGAUCGGCUAACUCCGUGCCAGCAGCCGCGGUAAUACGGAGGAUCCGAGCGUUAUCCGGAUUUAUUGGGUUUAAAGGGAGCGUAGGUGGAUUGUUAAGUCAGUUGUGAAAGUGUGCGGCUCAACCGUAAAAUUGCAGUUGAAACUGGCAGUCUUGAGUACAGUAGAGGUGGGCGGAAUUCGUGGUGUAGCGGUGAAAUGCUUAGAUAUCACGAAGAACUCCGAUUGCGAAGGCAGUUCACUGGACUGCAACUGACACUGAGGCUCGAAAGUGUGGGUAUCAAACAGGAUUAGAUACCCUGGUAGUC